ACUUUUUUUUUUUUUUUUUUUUUUUUUAAUUUUUCCCAUAUGCUAGUUGUUUAGAAAGAAUUUAGCUUCUCCUAGAAAGGCAUCCUUGGACUGGCACAAUUGAUACAUUUCAGCCAGCAUAGCAAAAAAGCUCAAUUUUGCCUGUGUGUAAAGAAGCUCAGAUAAGUCCUUGCACAUCAUCAUGAUCAGUAAUUGGUCAACCACCCAGGAAUACACAAGAUGACAGUCUCAUACAGGAUCACAGUCUUGAGAAGCAGACACCACUACCUGAUUAAUUUGCCUCCUGACUGACUUCUGGAUGCUGUCAACCAUUGGGAGGGAUGUUUGCUCUUGGUCAGUACACAGAAGUGCUUGUCACUACAUCACUGUAAAUAAAAGCUUCUCUUCAUUCAUGCCAAGCCUAUCAACCUGCCAUGCAAAUCUUAGUCCAAUAACUGUUACUGAGGCAAAGAGAAAAAAUCCAUAAUUGUCUAUAUUCAAUAGAACAAAUGCACAGAUUAUCAAAAUAAAUACAGCAUAAUAGACACAUAUGAGUUUGGAAGUGGAAUACCUGUCCAUGUGCUUGGAACUGACCCCAGUUGUGGAACAGCCACUUGUUCCCCCUCUGGAAGAUGGUGGUUGCCCCAGAUGGUUACACCAACUCUGUCAAAAAUGCUCCAGGAGCACACAUUGGGUUCCCACAGCCUUGGACUGCACCUGGUGGAAUACAGCCACACUGAGGAGAGCCCAGGAGCCCACGAGCCAGGCACCCUGCAAGAGCACAGGGCUAGGCAGAAACCAUGCAGUCAGGCCUAGGAACAGUGUCAGCUGCAAUAGAAAUAAAAUUGUAUAGCUUCAUCUUAGUAUGCCCUUAAAUCAUAAAAUUGCAGAAUGGUUUGGGUUGGAAGGGACCUUAAAGAUCAUUUAAAGUUCCAGUCCCCUUGAUGUGGGCAUGGACACCUUCUACUGGACCAGGUUGCUCAGGGCUCCAUCAGGCCUUGAACACUUCCAGAGAUGGGACAUCCACAGCUUCUCUGGGCACCCUGUGCCAGUACCUCACCACUCUCACAGUAAAGAAUUUCUAAUAUUCAAUCUAAACCUACCCUCUCUCAGUUAAGCAUUUUCCCCUUGCUCUAUCAUUACACACCCUUAUAUAAACUCCUGCUCCAGCUCUCUUGUAGUCCCCUUUAGGUACUGGAAGGCUGCUCCAAAGCCUCCCUGGAGCCUUUACCAGGUAGAACGACCCCAACUCUUCCCAGCCUGGGUUCAUAAAAGAGGUGUUCCAUCCCUCUAAUCAUCUUUGUGGCUCUUCUCUGGACCUAGCUGGCCAUGCUUCAAUUCUUCCUACAUCAUCAGGCUUCUGUCUAGCACUUUCCCCGUGCAUCAUAAUAUAAUACAACCAUUUGUCAGGAUGCCAGAAUUCUUAAUAAAUGUAAUUACAGAAGCCAUGCAGAGGAAAUUGCUUUACCCCAGUAGUGUUGCAUCAGAAAGCUAGGUUUCAAGCCCCACAUUUCUGAGGCAUUACACAUACUCACAGGUCUGCACCAGCUCAAAUGCUCAACACAGGCACAUUGGAGCACUGCCAGUCAUGCUUGCCCAAGGCCAUUUUGCAGAAACAUGGCCAGAACAGUGUCUGCUUUUUCAAUGCUGACGGACUCUUUCUCACAGCACAAGCACUCCACAUCAUUUACAACUCUGUGAAGUAAGUACAAAAAGGGUACCAACCACAUAUGACAGCACUGUCCUGAAUCAAACUAAUCCACUUUGUGGAGCCCAGCCCUAUAAAGUCACUACAUUUAAUUCCACAGCCUCCCCUAAGAUCACAACAGAUGCAAGGCCUUUGGUGCAAUACAAAAACUCCCCAUGCCACAACAGCCUUGGGAAGCCAGCAGAAGAGGGCAGCAGCGAUACAAGGAAGUGAACUAUACACCGAGUGGUUCCACCUGUAGUAUGCAUUUACCUGGUCUUUCUCAGGAAGCUGGGGUAGGAGAGAGAACAGGGAGGGAACCUUCUCAUUAUUCUUGCUCUCCAUGUGUCACAAACAGCUGUCUCAGGCAGCUCGAAGAAUCACCAGCUAAAAGGUACCAGCGAAAGCAGGUUUAAUAUUAAAGUGGAAGUGUGACAAAAUUUGUUUAAAGGUUUGCCCUACUGCUUACUAGAUGGUUAAAGGACACAGAGAAAAAUUAGACCAAAAUCUAAAAUCAAUCAAUCUAAAUCAAAAAUCUACCAAAAGUAACUUACAUGGAGGCUGGGGAUGGAAAAAGGAUAAGAAUGGGAAAGGAUAAGGAUAAAAAGGAAUGAGGGAGACCCACCUAUUAAGUCACAAGGUUCAGAGUGGCCCCCUUUGCCAAACUUAGUCGCAGAAGUGACCAAUGGUUUAGGCCUAAAGGUUUAAACCACACUUAAUGGUGCUUAAUUGAUAGCCUAAUUCAAACGAUUUUAAGAAAGAUUCUACAGAAUUUACUACAAGUAUGACAGCAACUCACAGGCCUCACUUAUUAAUCUAAUAUAUUUAAGAAUCUAAGAGAGCAAUAUUCAUGGUAAAUUUUCUAUGGCAUAUUCAGACUUGCACGCAAACAGACCUAAAGGAUUAUGUACCUGUGAAAAACUCUGCUUGAGUUCAGCUCAUGUUGGAUGCCAAGGGGCGAAGGGUUGAACCUCAAGCAGUGGGUAUAUCAUCCAAGGUCUGUCAGUGGUUCCAAGUAUAGCAAAUUUGAGAGUUCACUGGCCCUGAGAGGCCCUACUCAGAAGGAGGCUGCUGAUUGCAGGCUGCUGUGGUCCUUGAGAGUUCACAGGGUCUCAGUUAGGACUGAUGUUUCUGGGGUUACAAGAGAGCUGCCUUAAGUCAUAGUAAUUUUCUAUCCUGGCAGCAAUUCAGGUCAGUAAUUUCUUUGAAAGUUUGAUAACAAAAAUAUUGUUCCAUUCGGGUUGUUAUUAUUUUCUAAGGGUGUUUGUUAAAAAGCAGGAGCUCAUCAGACAGCCCAAGUUCCUGGGAACAGUGUUUCUGAUGAGCUCAAGAGGAGUUUAGCCCAGGUGUUAUUUCCUUUUUCUUGCAUAAAAAGUCAUUUUUCCUUUGCUCCCUGACACCCACAAACAUCUUCUUGGGCAGACAGGAAUCACACUCCUGAUAUUUACCAGCUGACCAAUAAUAAGGGGGACAGGAACAAGGACAGGGACAGACCUGCUAGAGGUUUAGGAAAGGGGAGAACUAUAGUAACCAAUCUAACAGCAAAAGGAGGCUUAAGAGGGGAUACUUCAAUGAAGCACAAGCAGAAAAAAGGACAGCCACUAGACAGGACCCCCACUGGGAUAUGAAACACUUCUGUUAAACGCCUGUACCCCAACACACAGUGGGGGAAACAAGCAGGGGAAGCGAGAGCUCUAUGUGCAGUCACAAGGCUUUGACCUCACUGCAGUUACAGAGAUGUAGUGGGAUAAUUCCCACAGUGGAAUGUUGCCAUGAAGGGCUACGCUGUUUAGGAGAGACAGACCAGGAAGGCACGGUGGUGGAGCUGCCCUCUCAGUGAGGCAACACAUAGAACUCUGUCUUGGGGUGGAUGUUGAGCGAGUCAGGAGCUUAUGGCUCAGGAUAAAAAGGCAGAUGAGUAAGGCUGACACUUCGGGUAUUUGCUCCAGGCUGCCUGACUGGCAGGUCAAAGUGGGUUAUCCCUUCUACAGGCAUUACAGUGGCCUCAAAGUCAUGGCCUUGUUCAUGUGGGAGACUUCAACCACCCUGACAUCUGCUGGAAAGCUACACAGCAAAGCACAAACAGGCCAGGGAGGUCCUGGAAAGCACUGAUGACAACUUUCUGCCACAGGUAGUGGAGAAUCCCACAAGGAAUGGUGAGCUGCUCAAUUCAUAAACAAACAGGCAAAGACUUGUUGGAGAAGUGAAGGCUGGGUGCAGCCUCGGCUGUAGUGGUCAUGAGAUUGUGGGGUUCAGCAACAGGAGAGGAGGAAGCAGGGCAGCAAGUAAGAUUACAACAAGGUGGACUUCAGAAGAGCUAACUUUAGCUCAGGGACCUUCUUGGAAGAAUCCCACAGGAACAGGCCUUGCAGGGAAGAGGGGUCCAAGAGAGCUGGUCAAUAUUCAAGGAUCACUUCCUCCAGGCUCAAGAACAAUGCAUCCUGAUAAGUGAGGUAUCAAGCAAAAGGAGCAACAUACCUAUUGGAUGAAAAAAGAACUGCUGUCAUUACUUAUGCAUACAUGGAAACUAUACAUGAGAUGGAAGCAGGGUCAGGCCACUUUGAAUACAGAGAAAUUGUCAGAGUAAGCAGAAAUGAGACAAGGAAAGUCAAGGUCCGCCCAGAAUUAAAUCUGGCCAAGGAUGUCAAGGAAAAGAAAGGCUUUUUCAAAUACAACAAUAACAAAAGGAAACCAAAGGAUUAUGUGUUACUAAAACUAAAACAGUUCCCUGCUGAAUGCCUUCUUUGCAUCAAUCUUCACUGACAAGAUCAGCCCUCAGGGACCUCUGACUCUGGAGACAAGGGCAAAUGAACAUCAGCAGGAAGACCUUUCCCUAGUUAGGGAGGAUUUGGUCAGAGAACAGCUCGACAAACUUGACAUCCACAAGUACGUAGGCCUUGAUGAGAUGCAUCCAUGCAUCCUGAGAGAGCAGGUGCACAUCAUAGCAAGGCCACUAAUAAUCAUCUUUGAAAGGUCAUGGAGAUCAGGAGAGGUGCCUGAGGGCUGAACGAAAGCAAAGAUCACACCAGUCUUAAAAAAGGGCAAGAAGAAGGACCCAGGAAACUAUCAGCCAGCAGCCUCACUGCAAUCCAUGGAAAGGUAAUGGUGUGCCUAAUUCUGAAGUGACAAAACAAAGCUAGGAGAAGUGGCCAAUACCCCAGAACACCGUGCAGCCUUUCAGAAGGACCUCGACAGGCUGCAGAGGUGGACAAAGAACUGCCUGAAAUUUUACAAGGGCAAAUGCAGGGCCCUGCCCCUGGAGAAGAAUAACUUUAUGCACCAGGACAGGCUGGGGCCCAACCUGCUGGAAAGCAGCUCUGUGGAGAAGGACCUGAGAGUCCUCAUGGACAAGAAACUGUCCAUGGGGCGCAUUAAAAAUAGCAUUGCAAGCAGGUUGACGGAGGUGAUCCUGCCCCUCUGCUCAGCCCUGGUGAGGCUACAUCUAGAGUGUUGUGUCCAGUUCUGAGCUCCUCAGUACAAGAGAGACAUGGAGCUCCUGGAGCAAGUCCAGAAGAGGGUGAAAAAGAUGAUUCUUUUAAUCUUUUGAUGACUGGAACAUCUCUAUUAUGAGGAAAGGCUGAGGCAACUGGGCCUGAUCAGCGUUGAGAAGAGAUCUGAGGUGGAGCCUUAUCAAUGUUGAUAAGCAUCUGAAGGGAGAGUGUCAAGAGGAUGGAGUCAGGCCCUUGUAAGUGCAAGCCAUAGGACAAGAGGCAGAAACUCAUGCACAGGAAAUUCCACCUGAACAUGAGAAAGGAUUUCUUUAUGGUACAGAUGCCUGAGAACUGGGGCAGAUUGCCCAGAGAGGUUGUGGAGUCUCUCUUACUGGAGAUAUUCAAGAAUUGUCUGCACACAAUCCUGUUCCAUGUGCUCUGGGGAACAUGGAUGACCCUGCUUGAACAGGGAGGUUGGACCAGAUCACCCAGUGUGUUCCCUUACAGCUUGAUCCAUCCUGUCAUGCUGUGAAACAUCCUCUCAUUUGAAUGUGUUAGAAUUAAAAAACAGUAGGUACUGAUGAAAUUCCAUCUUCAAGUCCUGUUUUUUUCAAUCAUAAGGAAGGCUCUUGCAUGUACUCUGAACAAUUCCAUAUAACGGAGACUAUCUAUUCUGCAUUCUGAAAGACAUUUCCGUUUUUUCUUAUACGCUGCCUUCUGAGAGUGUAUUUCCCCAUCCAUGUCACCACAUUCAGAUGUCUAGGUACAGUGCCAGUAUCCAGGCAUUUCUCCCACUAGGAACUUCUCAGUUUACUAAACCUAACAUUGCACCUGAUGUUUUUACUUAGAUCACUCUUUCUACAAAAGCCAAAAUGUCCAAACUUGCUGAUUCAUAGUAAUUUUGAUUAUUCCUCGACAAUGACAACUCCAGUAAGAGCUUACCCGUUUCAUAAACUCUAAACAAAUGCUAGAUUCAAAAAGGUUACUGGCCUGCUUGGCCUACUCUCACACAAAGUUGAUUGAAGAGUGGAGCUAAACCUAUAAAGUCAUUAUCAACUCUCCACCCCACAUAAUCAAACAGGUAAUGCCAUCUGAGAGAUUACAGUAAUUAGCUCCAAAAUUAGAUCCAUGAAAAUCAAUUAUUCUUACUGAUCUUUUACAUGGCAUGAUUACACAGACAGGAAGAUCAGCACAGUUUGGUUUAAACACCUAUAAAUUGUUGCAUUAAUAUUUUAUGAGAUUGCUGUACAGUACUGUUUCUGGGCUAAGAACACUUAGUUUUAAGUGACUUAACUGGGUUUGACCAUAGCUAUUGAGCCAUACAUUUUCUCCUGUAAACUCCCUUGUCCCAAGUCCUGAACAGUUUCAUCAGAAAUACUAUUCUUUCUAAAAAUUCAAGACAUAUAAAUAAUUGCUAAAAUAAGUGUAUAUAAUUGCUGCAUUAGCACAAUUCUAUAAAACCAGGAUCCAGAAACAACACUGCAUUUGAGCAUGCAAUAUUUACUACUGUCCUCGCACACUUUUACUAAACAAAAAUGAAUAUCUGAUGUGAGAGAUAUUAGAGCUCCCUGAUCAUGAUCUCUAUUACAGAAAAUAUAAAAUUGAAGCAUUAUUCUUCCAUAUAUUAAUUCAUUGUUGAGUUCUAUUCUUAAAGCUUUGAGUUCAUAGGCACUAAGCAUAACCUCUAGAAAUGAGGGGAAAAAAGUCCCCAACACUGUCAUUUUUUAAUAAGAAGGAGCAUCAACACUCAUAUAUUUUUGUCACUUGUGUUCAAUUUUUCAUCUUAUGCCACCUGGUAUUAUGCACCUUGUAUUGGGUUUGCAUGGCAAGGUGCUGGUAGUGGCAAGGGGAAGAAGGAGGGGAACUACAGGGGUGGCUUCUGUGAAAAGCAGCCAGAAGCUUUCCCUAUGUCUGCAGAGCCAAUGCCUGCCAGCUCCAAUGCAGACCUGCUGCUGGUCAAGGUUGAGCACAGCAGUGGUGGUGAUAGUACCUCUGGGAUAAUGCAUGUAAGAAGGAGAAAAAAAAAUGCUGUGCAACAACAGGUGGGAGACAGGAAUGAGAACAUGUGGGAGAAACAACCUUGCUGACACCAAGGUCAGUCAAGAAGGAAGGGAGGAGGUGCUGCAGGCACUGGAACAGAGAUUCCCCUGCAGCCCAUGGUGCAGCCCGUGGUGGGGUAGCUGUCCCUCUUCAGCCCAUGAAGGUCCAUGGUGGAGCAGAGAUCCAUCUGCUGCCAACUGAGGGCCCUUUGGGGGACCAUCCACAUUUGGGCAGGUGGGUGCCCCAAUGAGGCUGUGACCUUGCAGGAAACCCACACUGGACCAGCUUUAGUGGCAGGCAGGACUUGUGACCCCACAGGGCACCCUCACUGGAACAGCCUGUUCCUGAAGGAGUGCACUACAUGGAAGGGACCCUAUGCUGUAGGAGUACCCCUAUGGAGUAGGGGAAGAAUGUGAAGAUUCCUCCCUCUGAGGAGGAAGGAGCAGCAGAGACAAUGUGUGAUGAACUCACUACAGCCCCCAUGUCCUGUUCCCCUGUACCACUAUAGGGAGGAGGAGGAUGAUGAGAAAUCAGGAGUAAAGUUAAGCCUGGGAAGAUGGGAGGUGUGGGGGGAAGGUGUUUGGAAGGUGGUUUUAAGAUCUGGUUUUAAUUCUCAUUAUUUGAUUGGUAAAUAAACUAAUUUCCCAGUGCUGAGUCUGUUUUGCCUAUGAUAGUAACUGGUGAGGGAUCUCUCCCUGUCCUUAUUCUGACUGCUGAGCCUUUCAUUGUAUUUUCUCUCCCCUGCCCAGUUGAGGAGGGAAGUUAUGGGGUGGCUGUGUGGGCAUCUGGCACAAAGCCACAGUCAAGCCACCACACAGUUUUAGUUUACAAGAUCAAUCAGGUCCCAUGUAUUCCAGCUGCCUAACAGAUAAAUAUUUCAGUGAACACAAGAGUAUUUUGAAAUGCACAGACUUGUACAUAAAAUACUUUAAAGACAUGUCACAGUUCUAAUUGUAUUUUGCAUAUUACAGGACAACACUUAAUGCAUUCCUGUUCCAUAGUUAAUUAUUAUAUUACAGUUAAUAAAAUAACAAGGAGCUUGGGAUGUAAUUUCAAACAUAUUCCUCAAUAGAGACCUUAGGGAUGCUGCAAAGGCUAAGAGGGUGUGCAUCAAAGGAGAAAACUGUUUGCCAAUUAUUAAUUGGAAAGUUACUCUACGCUUAAAUGGUAACUGGGAAAUAUAUCGGAGUUUAGUGAAAAGACGCAGGAGAAAUUCCACAAAAGCAUGCAUGAAGCUUCAGGAUGAAAUAGGACUAACUAAAAGUGCAUGGUACGUAUGUCACCUAUGACACCAGUCUUUAGAGUUUUGAGGAAUCUAGGCAACUAAAGACUUUUAAUGUUAACUACUCAAUAUUAUAAUAAUGCAUAGAAUGAGUGGACACCUCAAGAAAUAUGAUUAUUGAGAAGAGACAGCAUAGGUUCUGGUUCCUAAAGCUCUGCCCUAGAAGUCUGCUGAAAUUCUCUAAUGAGGGCAGUCUGGUUUACCCAGAUUCCAAAAAUGGUUUUGGCAAAAUUCAUCAUCUAAGGCUUAAAAGAAGUUAUGUAUACACACAAGAAGUCCUGAUGUGGGUAAAUAAUUGGCUAGAAGAUAGGAAACAGACAGUAAGAGAAAACAAUCCAUUCCAAACAAAGGAAGGAGAUAAUUCCUGAGGUUCAGGAGAGGCUUGAAGAUCUUCAACCUACAGUGAACAGUGAGCUGGAAAAUGAUGAAGAGCAAGCUUAGAGUUUAGUGAUGACAUCAAGUUAUUCAGGAAAGCCAGGAUAAGGGCAGACUGAAAAAAACCUGCAUGACUCUAUGAAACUGAAUAGUUGUCCAAUGAAAUGACAAAUUCCAAGUAGAUAAAGUAAAGCAGGUGAGGUGAUGGGGAAUCCCAAGACCAGAAUGAGCUGUAUGGCAGGCUCUGAAGUGAACAUUAGCACUUAGGGACAAAAUGGUGAAGUUUCAUUAGUUACAGGAAAAAAAAAAAAAAAAAAAAAAA
Long non-coding RNA from Taeniopygia guttata (zebra finch), 9116 nucleotides. NCBI's taxonomy places the organism in Eukaryota, Metazoa, Chordata, Aves, Passeriformes, Estrildidae. The record is from Ensembl.